This 262-nucleotide long non-coding RNA is filed under the name Capsella rubella. RNAcentral's name for it is "long non-coding RNA (CRUB_LNC001364)". Lineage: Eukaryota; Viridiplantae; Streptophyta; Magnoliopsida; Brassicales; Brassicaceae. The record is from RNAcentral.
UGUGAUUAAGAUUCAUGUGUCAUUCUGUUGGUUGGUAGUUAAUCAAAUUAAUUAUGUUUUUUUACUUAAAUUUUAUUUUCAGACUGCUUUUUUUUUUUUUUUUUGUAACCAAGAGUUAGUUUAGAGACAGAUGAAAUAUGUUUUGUAUUUUUGUACAAGAUAUCUUUUUCAUUUUCUUAAAGUAAUUCUAAAUCUUAUGGACACAGAAUCGAAAUAAGGUUGGGGACACAAUCCAAAGAAAGAAAUAAAAGUACCGUUUUCA